Molecule: ribosomal RNA, 253 nt
Filed under: uncultured bacterium
Lineage: Bacteria
Description: partial 16S ribosomal RNA
Rfam family: Bacterial small subunit ribosomal RNA
Source: RNAcentral
UACGGAGGGUGCAAGCGUUAUCCGGAUUUACUGGGUUUAAAGGGUGCGUAGGUGGGCAAGUAAGUCAGUGGUGAAAUCUCCGGGCUUAACCCGGAAACUGCCAUUGAUACUAUUUGUCUUGAAUACUGUGGAGGUCAGCGGAAUAUGUCAUGUAGCGGUGAAAUGCUUAGAUAUGACAUAGAACACCUAUUGCGAAGGCAGCUAACUACGCGAAUAUUGACGCUGAGGCACGAAAGCGUGGGGAUCAAACAGG